UUUCUGUACUGAGAAAGCAAUUCUUAAUACAUUAUGUGUUACAUACCUUCUCGGUACAUUUUGUUAAUUGCUUUGAUGUUGGAAAAUUAUGUCUCAAUUCGCAAUUAUGACCUUGAAAAAAAGCAAAAUACUUGCAAACUCGCUAGAUAUUUCCUUUCAUGUCUAGGAAGUUGAAUAGUGUUUGGAAUCUUUUUCAAGAGGUACUUAAUUAUCACUCUUCUUCUAUAUAGGAAAUCAGUGCAUGUGAUUGUUUUUGUAUUGCAAGCAACAUGUGAUUCCAUAAGCAUCACUCAUAAUGUGCAUAGUCCCUAAUUUGCAUCUGCUGAUUUAUCCUUGAACUGGUGAUGUAACUCAGAAUGUAGGUGGUAGUUUGGCAAGAAGCAAAAGAAGGAUACCCGAAAACAUCAUUAGAAUAUUAUGUCCAAUCCAUUGUUCAAUUCAAAGGAACAAGGAAAAAAAAAAAAGAAAAGAAAAAGACAGUUUUGCUUAAGAUUUCAUGAAACUGAACCUUCCAGAAAUGUCUGAGUGGAUAAUGCAUAGACCAGGGUAUUAGAUAUUAGUGACAUAUGGCUGAUUGGCUAGUAGUGAUAUGUUUCUGAAAAGUUAGUUUGUAUGAUGAAAUUCAUCGAGGUGAAGAGGAGAUGGUUUCUGAUUUUAACUUGGUGUGGUUUAAUAUUUUGAGUAAACAAUGCAAGCAGCUACAUGAUUUUACUUGAUAUGGUUACCUAUUUGGGACUGCUGGUUUUAUCAUUUUAUUGGUUUUACCUGCACAUUAAUGGAAUUGUGUACACAAAUUACAAGUAGUUGAACUCGUUUUGAAUUUCAUCGUCUUUCGUAACGUUGUACAAACUCUCUUGUUUUGAGCAAGCAAGAUCGUUAGGAAGGAUAUAAACUUGAGCUAUUUAAUCUUGUACUGCAGAAAUUACUUGUGCAAACCUCUGUUGCCUAGGCAGAUGUAUAUGGAGUCUUCUUCAGAAUCUGUAUCCUCUAACUGUUUUUGACGCCAUACGUCAAAAACAUAUGGAAUUAUGAAAUUUAUGCUGCUUAAAAUUAAGGCUUAUCAUUAUUACAGUUUAGUGUCCUUGGUCAAUGAUCAAAUUCAUGACUCAUCUCUCAGGGUGUUAGUUAUUCUGUCUCAAGUACUAGCCAGUGGUGCAGUGGUGAAUAAAAUAAAAUGUAGGUUCUGCAAAUAGUUGAUCUCACACAAUAUUUAUUCUCUUAGCAUUUUGAUUAAUAGCUACUGCUGCUUAAACCGUGUGGAUUUUGGAUUCUCAGUUCUGAGUAAAAUCCUAAAACUUGGAUUAGAGCCCAGCAUCAUGAUAUUUACUACCUUAAUUGAUGGGCUGUGUAAAGGGGGUACAAUCAAUAGAGCAGUAGACCUUUUCAAUGAUAUCGUUGCAAGAGGUUUUCAACCUGAUGUUUAUACCGACAAUAUGAUAGUAAAUGCUCUGUGUAAAUACGGCAAAACAGAUGUGGCUACUGGGUUGUUGAAGGAAAUGGUUGAGAGAGGUUGUGAGCCAGAUGUCAUGACCUACAAUCCAAUCAUUGAUUGCAAGGAUAAGCUAGUUGCUGAGGCAUUAAACCUCUUUUCUCAACUGGGGAACAAGGGCAUUUCACCUACUGCUGUCACUUACAACUGCCUAAUUCACGGUCUUUGCAGUUUAGGUAAAUUGAAUCAAGCUUUAUCCUUGCUGAAUGAAAUGGUGGUGCAGAACAUAUCACCAGAUGUUUAUACCUUCAGUAUAUUUAUUGACAAUCUUUUUAAGGAAGGAAUGGUUUCAAAGGUUCAAGAAAUUUUUGGCAUAAUGGUUAAAUGGAAUAUUAGGCCUCAACAUCUUGAUCAAUGGGUACUAUGAGAACAAAAGGAUUGAUGAAGCAAAGAAACUUUUUGAUGAAAUGCAUUAUAAAGGUUUAGUUCCCAACAUUGUGCUUGUGGCGAGUGGGAAAGUCCCAAACUGCACUAGAGGUUUUCAAGCGCAUGUGUUCUCAAGGACACCAGCCAGAUAGAAUAAGUUUCUCCAUUUUGCUUGAUGGAUUGUGCAAGCAGGGGAAUCUUGAUGAGGCGCUUGCACUAUUUAAAGCAAUGGAAAAGAGCCGGUUGAAGCCUAAUCAUGUGACCUAUACCAUUUUGAUUGAUGGUCUGUGUAGAGUUGGGAAUCUUAAUGAUGCCAAGAAAUUUUUUUCUAGGCUUCUUGAAAAAGGUGUGCAGCCUAAUGUUUAUACAUAUAGUACAUUCAUUAAAGGACUUUGCAAGGAGGGAUUAUUAGAUGAAGCAUACCAGGUUUUUAGAGGAAUGGAAGAUAGUGGAUGUUUACCGAAUGACUGUUGUUAAAAUGUGAUUAUUCAAGGGUUUCUCAGGCAUGAGGAUGUACCAAAAGCAUCACAACUUAUUGAUGAAAUGGUUGAUAAGGGAUUCUCUGCAGAUACCACGACCACUGAAUUGGUAAUACAUUUAUCUCACAAUGACGGUCUCAUUUUGAGAAACUACGAAAUCGAUCUGAAGGUUCUAAUGGCAUAAAUGCGAAGUGAGAUACUAGCAAUUAAUGCUUGAUCAACUGAUGCAUGAGUUCUUUGUCAUGUUGUGUGUCAUUGGUACUUGAUUCUAUAUCAAUAUGUGUACAAUUACAAAUUCCUCAAGUUAGUUGCUUUUGUUUUUUCAGAGGAAACUGUUUAUUAGCAGUAACAUCAUGUUUUUAGGCUGCAUGGAUAGAAGACUAUAGUAAAGAUGGUUGUAUUUGGUAUCGGAAAAUGGAUAGAAGACUGUUGGGUAACCAUAUGAAUGGCUGAUUUGUCUCUCUUUCUGUACUGAGAAAGCAAUUCUUAAUACCUUAUGUGUUACUUACCUUAUCGGUACAUUUUGUUAAUUGUUUUGAUGUUGGAAAAUUAUGUCUCAAUUCGCAAUUAUGACCCUGAAAAAAAGCAAAAUACUUGCAAACUCGCUAGAUAUUUCCUUUCAUGUCUAGGAAGUUGAAUAGUAUUUGGAAUCUUUUUCAAGAGGCACUUAAUUAUCACUCUUCUUCUAUAUAGGAAAUCGAUGCAUGUGAUUGUUUUUGUAUUUUGAGCAACAUGCGAUUCCAUAAGCAUCACUCAUAAUGUGCAUAGUCCCUAAUUUGCAUAUGCUGAUUUAUUUUUGAACUGGUGAUGUAACUCAGAAUGUAGGUAGUAGCUUGGC
Molecule: long non-coding RNA, 3172 nt
Filed under: Manihot esculenta (cassava)
Lineage: Eukaryota; Viridiplantae; Streptophyta; Magnoliopsida; Malpighiales; Euphorbiaceae
Description: long non-coding RNA (MESC_LNC007607)
Source: RNAcentral